GCCCCUUCGGGGACAUUCGAUAAAAUUGGAACGAUAGAGAGAAGAUUAGCAUGGCCCACAUGACAUGCACAAAUCGAGAAGUAGUUCAAAUUUUU
Molecule: small nuclear RNA, 95 nt
Filed under: Solanum tuberosum (potato)
Lineage: Eukaryota; Viridiplantae; Streptophyta; Magnoliopsida; Solanales; Solanaceae
Source: RNAcentral